UGCGUAGGCGGAUUAAUAAGUCAGUGGUGAAAACCUGCAGCUUAACUGUAGACUUGCCAUUGAUACUGUUAUUCUUGAGUACGGUCAAGGUAGGCGGAAUGUGUAAUGUAGCGGUGAAAUGCUUAGAUAUUACACAGAACACCGAUUGCGAAGGCAGCUUACUGGGCCAUUACUGACGCUGAGGCACGAAAGCGUGGGGAGCGAACAGGAUUAGAUACCCUGGUAGUC
RNAcentral lists this ribosomal RNA (228 nucleotides) under uncultured bacterium. RNAcentral's name for it is "partial 16S ribosomal RNA". It matches the Rfam family "Bacterial small subunit ribosomal RNA", at positions 568 to 795 of the family's 1533-position model. The record is from RNAcentral.